UACGGAGGGGGCGAGCGUUAUUCGGAAUUAUUGGGCGUAAAGGGCGCGUAGGCGGCUUGAUGUGUCAAAGGUGAAAUCCCUCGGCUCAACUGAGGAACUGCCUUUGAAACUGGCUGGCUUGAGGCCGGGAGAGGGUAGCGGAAUUCCCAGUGUAGCGGUGAAAUGCGUAGAUACUGGGAGGAACACCGGUGGCGAAGGCGGCUACCUGGACCGGUUCUGACGCUGAUGCGCGAAAGCGUGGGUAGCAAACAGG
This 253-nucleotide ribosomal RNA is filed under the name uncultured bacterium. Its description in RNAcentral is "partial 16S ribosomal RNA". It matches the Rfam family "Bacterial small subunit ribosomal RNA", at positions 524 to 776 of the family's 1533-position model. The record is from RNAcentral.